Molecule: transfer RNA, 75 nt
Filed under: Candidatus Korarchaeum cryptofilum OPF8
Lineage: Archaea; Thermoproteati; Thermoproteota; Candidatus Korarchaeia; Candidatus Korarchaeales; Candidatus Korarchaeaceae
Also listed under: 3 other names
Description: tRNA-Thr (GGT) (tRNA-Thr-GGT-1-1)
Rfam family: tRNA
About the family: Transfer RNA (tRNA) molecules are approximately 80 nucleotides in length.
Source: Rfam by way of RNAcentral
GCCCCGGUAGCUCAGCCCGGUCGGAGCGCCGCCUUGGUAAGGCGGAGGGCGCGGGUUCGAAUCCCGCCCGGGGCU